This is a non-coding RNA of Zootermopsis nevadensis, 2972 nucleotides long. Lineage: Eukaryota; Metazoa; Arthropoda; Insecta; Blattodea; Termopsidae. The record is from RefSeq and is a predicted model, not a curated record.
CGAGCAUUUUCAGUUGCAGUACAGUUGUUUGUGCACAUUAGAAGUUGUAACAGGACCUGAUCGAGAAUUUCUUCAUAAAGCAGGAAAACAGGUAUUUUUUGAGCGCAAGUUAGAAUUCACACCUGACAAUGCAAACACAGUGAACAGUAUUGUAUAUAUACGUAAUAUCAGCUGUGGCAUCACCUCUCCUUGGUCUUCUGGUGGAUAAAGUUGGCAAGAAUAUACUCUUGAGUAUGAUUUUCAGUUCUGGUGUCCAUUGGCUGCCAUGCACUUCUUGCCUUCACUUUCAUCAAUCCAUAUAUUGCAAUGUGUAUCUUGGGUGUGGCAUAUUCAAUGCUUGCUAGAGCUCCGUGGCCAAUGGUUGCUCUCGUAAUUCCUGAAUAUCAACUGGGGACAGCAUAUGGCACGUAAAUAGUAUGCAGAAGUUGUGGUUUAUAGAUAAUUUCUGGUACUAAAAGACAUCUAAUUCAUUUAAUAAUUCCAAGUUGAGUUUUAAUGCCCCCCCCCCCCUUCACCCCCUCCUUCAUAGAAUGAAACUUUAUUCAUUAUGUUUCCUUCCCUGUCACUCUGUACUCUUCUACGUGCCUGUGUGUCACCCUGUUUUUAACCUUAUUUUCCCGCCAGAGUGCACCCUGGUCCUCUCCAGUUUUCCUGUGUUGUCGGGGGGCUCGUGAGGGGAUUCUCUGCUCGGUGAUCAGACAUGCAGUGUCUGCUCCAUUUUCGGACCAAAAUUGCUUUGGGGAGGCGGUUUUUAAAACGGCAGAGAACCGACAUGGGUUCCUGGGAUGCUUUGUGAUUUAGAGGCUUAUUGGUGUGCUGUUUGUGUUAAUAAUUAAUAAUAAAAAAAGAUUGUGGGCCAGUGUGUUUCAGCAUAAAGUGUGUUUGAAUUAAUUGGCUUCAAGAUGCAGAAAUUCGAAUGGUGUGUGAAGGGUUAAUAUCUUAACACUUUUUGGAACUGAAAUUAAAACUAAAGGCUUCAUGUAUAUUAAUGUUUUCUGGCAUAUGAUAGACUCUAAUUAUAGUUUAUCCGCACAAAAUGAAUUUAAUUUGUUCAUGAAAGCCUUCAUUAUGUGAAAUUGGGGAAAUACUGGACGAAGGCCUAAUUUGUUCUAAGACUACAUAGUAAGUUAACCUUAAAAAAUGUGGUAAUUUUUGACAAUUAAACAUUAUAAGAACUUGGUAAAUUGUUACAAUUAACAAACAUAGUAAAGAAUCGGUAAGUAAAGCAGACAAAUAUUACAGUAGAACAAUGCUUACCUUAGCUUAACACAGUAAGUAAUGGAAAUUGAGCACGAAACAAUCAUAAAUGGAUGUUUUUGAUUGGCUGAAUCUUGCUGAGUUCACUUAGAAGUGUUUUGUUUGGCUGAUAUUGACAACCACUUGACUUUGUAAGCAGUAUCAAUUUUAGACGCUUGUUAUAAUAAAUGUCGGUAAGCAUGUUUAGGCAAUAACACUUGCUGUCUGUGAACACCACUUCAAUAAGAAAAUGUCUUAAGCGAGUCUGACUAUAAUUGAUUCCACACAUUUAUUAUAUAUUAAUAAAGCAGUUUAAUCCCCUUUUCAUAGUUCCAUUUUAACUCAUCUUCCAGGUGAAGCCUUAUGAUACUGAACUAGCAGUGCAAGAUUUGUUUUGGUGCCACUUACAAUUUCUUAUUCAUGUGUGAAAAUGUUUAUCAGAAUGAUGUUAGUAUUGUUUGCAUCAUUUAACUUGGCAUCUGGCUGAAGGGUGGGAAGGAGGCUAGCAUGACAUGCUAUGUGCUUGCUGUGCUUCGUGCGGGCAUCAGAGUGACACUUAUGUGUCGUACGCGUAGUGUUUGAGGUUUGCACAUGCAACAUUUGAGGAAACAUCACCAUGUAGAAUGUUGACUGGCUAAUACCUGCAUUAGUCCUGCGCCGUAGCCGCGCGGUCUGAGGCAUCAUGCUUCGGACCGGCGAUAUGGUUGGAUGAUCGUUCACCUCUGCUUAAGCAUUUGAACUAAUAAUAAACAAGCAAAUUGAGUGGUUGGCAUUUGAAAACACAAUUUUCCAUAGUCAUCUCGUAAUUAUAUUGGUACGCCCCAAAUAUAGUCGAUUUGUUCAUAAUCUGUUGUCAUAUCAUGUUUUAUUUCCCAAUCUGUGCUGAGUAACCUCAAGCCAUUAUAUGUAAUAUUUUCAUUUGAAAUGUUGACACUCUAAGUGCUACGCUACAAAACAGCUCAUUAGACCAUCAAGUGUAUGUAGUAAUGUUAUAAUUAUCACAUCAUAUUGCCAAUUUUUAGUGGGAAAAUGAUUUGCCUCUUGGAAAGUAACAGCAGCAGAGAUAUGAGGAUAUAUUAAAAUGGAGCUUUAGGAAGUAGGUUUUUGUAAUGUGUACAGAUGUAACUGUAUGAAUCACAUUCAGUGGUGAUAUUUUAUGUUAGCGGUAUUGGGUUUUAACAGGACAGAGGGAGAAAGGAUUGAAUGAGUUGGUUUUUUUGGGAUAUAAUACCAUAUCUUCUGUAUGUAUGAGUAAAAAAGUUGUAAUAGGACCUUGAAAUUGUGUAUUUAGAUUUUAUGGUGUAAUUUUCUAGGUGUGUCUCAAAUUUUCAUUAAUAUUCAUUAUAGCAGUUUCAUAUAAGUAUUUGAACUUCUUAGGAAUUUGUUGUGGGAUGCCACUGCCUGUGUUUGUAAGUAUGAAUGCUUUGCUGAUUACCUUUAAUAUUUAAAUAUUUUAUUCAAGGAAGUAAAACCACCCAUCAUUCUUAGUUGAGAGUCACAGUAAUCAGAUACCUGUGAUUGCUAGCAUUUCCUCAUUCAGAAAGUUUACAAAUGGAUGGACUAUUUGGUGUGACUUUUCUUAUAGUCACUUUGAUGGUUGGGAGCUGGAAGGACUGCUGUGACAUUUAAACAGAUAUUAUACUCCUUAAAUCUGAUGUUGAUAACUACUAUUGCAUUGUCAAUGUAUUGAAUUAGCAUUGUAUGAAGUUCAAAGCAAUAUAGUGUUGUCCUUUUGA